This 646-nucleotide ribosomal RNA is filed under the name uncultured bacterium. RNAcentral's name for it is "bacterial SSU rRNA". It matches the Rfam family "Bacterial small subunit ribosomal RNA", at positions 148 to 789 of the family's 1533-position model. The record is from RNAcentral.
CCUGGGGAACCAGGUCUAUACCGCAUAAUCUCUAGGAGUAAAGCGGGGGAUUUCGGUCCUCGCGGCGAUGGAGCGGCCCGUGUCCGAUUAGUUUGACGUCGGGGUAACAGCCCAGCGUGGCUACAAUCGGUAGCUGGUCUGAGAGAAGGAUCAGCCACGCCCGGGACUGAGACUCGGCCCGGACUCCUACGGGAGGCAGCAGUGGGUAAUAUGGACAGAUGGGGGCAACCCUGAUCCAGCGAUGCCGCGUGUGUGAAGAAGGCCUUCGGGUUGUAACGCACUUUCGCGGGGGAAGAAACUUCGCGCUCUCACAUAGCGCGGCACUGACGGUACCCCGAGAAGAAGCGCCGUCUAACUCCGUGCCAGCAGCCGCGGUAAUACGGAGGGCGCAAGCGUUAAUCGGAAUGACUGGGCGUAAAGCGUGCGCAGGCGCCCGCGGAAGUCGGAUGUGAAAGCCCCGGGCUCAACCCGGGAGCUGCGUUCGAAACUCCGCGGCUCGAGUCCGGCAGAGGAAGGUGGAAUUCGCGCGUGUAGCGGUGAAAUGCGUAGAGAUGCGGAAGAACUCUAAUGGCGAGAGGCAUCCUUCUGGGCCGGCACUGACGCUGAGGCAGAGGAGCGUGGGUACUAAACAGGAUUAGAUACCCUG